RNAcentral lists this long non-coding RNA (342 nucleotides) under Brassica napus (rape). Its description in RNAcentral is "long non-coding RNA (BNAP_LNC026594)". The record is from RNAcentral. Lineage: Eukaryota; Viridiplantae; Streptophyta; Magnoliopsida; Brassicales; Brassicaceae.
GUGCAGAGCUAGUCUUUUGGAGCUUUGGUUUCUUCUAUUCAGAAUUUUGUGGUUCUGCGCUAUCAUGGGCGCCUUGUAUGUACUUGUUUAGUUUGUGAAGUGCUUCUUAUCUAUUAGCUGGUAGUUGUGCAGCCAGUGCUUUAGACAUGCGUCUUUUUGUUUUGUGGUGACUUUGUUCUUCCGAUGAUUUUUCUUUUUCUGACCAAUUUUUUUGGUUUUUUGUGCUGGUGCUUAAUCGUGAUCUUUUGUGUUUUGGGGAUUGCUUUAUCUCAUAUUUUAUCUUUUUACAUUUAUCUGACAUUUUCUUGUUCUAGCCAAGACAUUCUAUGCUAAGAUGAGAUA